GUGGGGAAUAUUGGACAAUGGGGGGAACCCUGAUCCAGCCAUGCCGCAUGUGUGAAGAAGGCCUUUUGGUUGUAAAGCACUUUAAGCGAGGAGGAGGCUACCGAGAUUAAUACUCUUGGAUAGUGGACGUUACUCGCAGAAUAAGCACCGGCUAACUCUGUGCCAGCAGCCGCGGUAAUACAGAGGGUGCAAGCGUUAAUCGGAUUUACUGGGCGUAAAGCGCGCGUAGGUGGCCAAUUAAGUCAAAUGUGAAAUCCCCGAGCUUAACUUGGGAAUUGCAUUCGAUACUGGGUGGCUAGAGUAUGGGAGAGGAUGGUAGAAUUCCAGGUGUAGCGGUGAAAUGCGUAGAGAUCUGGAGGAAUACCGAUGGCGAAGGCAGCCAUCUGGCCUAAUACUGACACUGAGGUGCGAAAGCAUGGGGAGCAAACAGGAUUAGAUACCCUGGUAGUCC
Molecule: ribosomal RNA, 451 nt
Filed under: uncultured bacterium
Lineage: Bacteria
Description: partial 16S ribosomal RNA
Rfam family: Bacterial small subunit ribosomal RNA
Source: RNAcentral